UCAGUCGUAGGCUACUGAGGGAUCAAAUGUUUUUAUAUAAAAUAAUAAAUGAUGAGAUUGAUUCGAGCUGUCUUUUUUCCAAAAUUUCAUUUAAAUGUAGUCGUAUUUCCGCGCGUUCUAAACAGACCUUCCACAUGUCCACGGCUCGAACGAAAUAUGCUUCUAACUCUUUUGUCCGUAGAUCUUGUAGGUUUUAGCAUACUAAGUUCUCUAAUGCUGACAUAUUUUGCUUGUCACUUGUAGCAUAUAGAAAAGCUAUUUUGGAAUAUUUAUAAGGUGAUUUAGCCCGAUGAGUAUUACUUAGUUUUAUAGUGUAAGUUGAUGUACAUAAUAAUAUGUGAGUAUUGUGUUACUUUUGUUUUUUGUGUAGGGGAAAGUGGGGGAAACGCGAACGCUGGGUAAUGCCGAAUUCAAUGGUUCUAAUAUGUUAGAAAGAUAUAUCCUAAUUUUAUUUGCCGCCAUUUCGGAGAUCACGCCACCACUGAUGCCAGUCAAUAACACGGGAGACGCGGACGCACGUACUUAAAAAGAUGCCUUGUACUUACAAAAGAAAGACCGAACUGAAGUAUAGUUUAGAAGAUCUCAAAAAGGCUAUAGACGAUGUUAAAACCAAAAACUCUCCCUGCGUAAAGCAGCAGAAACAUAUAAUGUUCCAAAAACCACAAAUUUUGACCAUCUAAUGAAAGAAGUGUUAAUACAGCCUUUGUUGGAUGAAAACCUUUAUUUACAGACGAUCAGGAAACGUAAGAAAUCAAGAAGAAAACGGAAAGAUGGCAAAAAAGGAACCCAAAUAAAAAGACUGAAAUGUAAUGAGAGAACACCUUCAAACAAGAAGUAUGAAAUAUUAUUAAAUAAUUUGAACAAUAUAAAAAAAGACUUUAGUGACUCUAGUCAAAAUACGAAAAAAAAGAAAAAGGCAAAAAAGAAAAUAAAGACUACUUUUGUAUUUUUUGUAGAGAUAAAUUAAAUAUAUUGAUCCUCCCGUUGAAGACUAGAUUGUGUGCUAUGUGUGCAAAAAAUGGGCUCACGAGAGUUGUACUGACGGACAGUCAAUAUCGUUGGGUUUUAAAUGUGACCUAUGUCGUUAAUAAUGUUGGUUCGUAAUCAAGUGCCAACCAAGGCAGCGGCUUGGCUCUGCCCCUGGCAUUGCUGACGUCCAUGAGCGACGGUGACCACUUACCAUCAGGUGGGCCGUAUGCUCGUCUGCCUACAAAGGCAAUAAAAAAAAAAAAAAAAAACCCCACUUGGUGUUCGUAUUUACCCGACUAAUGUCGGGCAAAGCCGAACACUAAGGGUUUUGUUUUUCUUUCAUAUUGUUGCAGUUUAUUAAAAAAAUAUAAAUGAUGAUUAGUGAAUAAGUUAGACAGAUAAGUAAA
Long non-coding RNA from Bombyx mori (domestic silkworm), 1376 nucleotides. RefSeq lists it as uncharacterized. NCBI's taxonomy places the organism in Eukaryota, Metazoa, Arthropoda, Insecta, Lepidoptera, Bombycidae. The record is from RefSeq and is a predicted model, not a curated record. The transcript is spliced from 2 exons.